This 460-nucleotide ribosomal RNA is filed under the name uncultured bacterium. RNAcentral describes it as "partial 16S ribosomal RNA". It matches the Rfam family "Bacterial small subunit ribosomal RNA", at positions 338 to 795 of the family's 1533-position model. The record is from RNAcentral.
CCUACGGGGGGCAGCAGUGAGGAAUAUUGGUCAAUGGACGAGAGUCUGAACCAGCCAAGUAGCGUGAAGGAUGACUGCCCUAUGGGUUGUAAACUUCUUUUAUAUGGGAAUAAAAUGUUCCACGUGUGGGAUUUUGUAUGUACCAUAUGAAUAAGGAUCGGCUAACUCCGUGCCAGCAGCCGCGGUAAUACGGAGGAUCCGAGCGUUAUCCGGAUUUAUUGGGUUUAAAGGGUGCGUAGGUGGAUUGUUAAGUCAGUUGUGAAAGUUUGCGGCUCAACCGUAAAAUUGCAGUUGAAACUGGCAGUCUUGAGUACAGUAGAGGUGGGCGGAAUUCGUGGUGUAGCGGUGAAAUGCUUAGAUAUCACGAAGAACUCCGAUUGCGAAGGCAGUUCACUGGACUGCAACUGACACUGAGGCUCGAAAGUGUGGGUAUCAAACAGGAUUAGAUACCCUUGUAGUC